UCCGCUGGCCAUUACAAUUUAAUACCCAUCCAAAUGUAUGCUAUAUUGUCAAUAGGAAAAAAUGAAAUAACAGUGGUUAAUAGCAUACAACUAGCAUCCGAAUCGGAUGAGUCGUUUUGCUAUUACAUUGUGAAACAAAAUCCAUAUUAGAAUUAAAGAACAAAACAAAAUACAAUAAAAACUGUCCAUCGCACUUGCAUCUGAAUCGGAUGCCUUUGUAUUGUUUUGUAACUUUUUUGUUUAUUGUUGCAGCUGCUGUUGUACCGUUAUUCAUUUUUGAUGCUUCUUUCUUUUUUGAAGCAAAAUUUUAUUCUGUGAAGUGUUUUUGAAAGUGCAAGUUGUGAAUUUUGAACAAAAGUUAAUAAAAUAAAUUAAUAAAAUAAGAAUGUAGUAAGUGUUGUGUGUUAAAUAAGUUAAAUAAAAUGUCAGGAUUCAGUAGGAGUAAUUUAAGACGACUAAAGAAAGUGGAAGCAGACAAUUUAACAAGAAAUCCACAGUUGAGGACGGACUGUUUGGAAAACAAUGAUAUUCUACAAAAUGAGCAGAUUCCAUGCAUUCCAAAAUUGUAGAAGAUUUUGGAAAAUAUGUAAGAAUGUUGAAAACUCUCCGUUAUAAUCCAUUAAUAAUUUAAAUUCUUUCAGCUAUGAUGGUACCCAAAAUAAAAAGGCGUUUAAGGAAUAUAAAUUUUAAUCAUGGCCAUUUUCGAAGCUGUCAUAUGUGAAGGAUCCAAUGAACAGGAUUAAAAAUUGUUUCAAAUUCCCUAAGGCCAGACACUUCCGAACAAUGUCCUACAAUAAAAAACUGGAAAAAUAUAUUUUUUUUCCUUUAGUUUAAGCUUUAUUUCUUCCCACGUCUUUUGAAUAAGUUUUAUGAAUUUCGUUUUUAUGCAUUAUUUCUAAUUAUAAUAAGAAUAUUUUAUUGUUGAAAACACGUUUAUAAUACGAAUAUUUUAAUAAAAGACAGCUGAAAUUUAAGUUCCACAAUCUAAAAUGUUGAUGGAAUCGGAUCCAUCCAACCUUCGCUUACAAUGUUGAUAGAUUUCGGACCCAUCCAACAUUCGCUUACGUUGUCGGUCGAUUUCGGACCCAUCCAACAUUCG
Molecule: long non-coding RNA, 1099 nt
Organism: Musca domestica (house fly)
Lineage: Eukaryota; Metazoa; Arthropoda; Insecta; Diptera; Muscidae
Exons: 3
Source: RefSeq, a predicted model, not a curated record